Myotis daubentonii (Daubenton's bat) is the source of this 604-nucleotide long non-coding RNA. RefSeq lists it as uncharacterized. The record is from RefSeq and is a predicted model, not a curated record. Lineage: Eukaryota; Metazoa; Chordata; Mammalia; Chiroptera; Vespertilionidae.
AUAUCAAUUGUUUGCCUCCUGCACACGCCCUGACCAAAGCCAGGGAUGGCACCUGCAACCCAGGUAUGUGCCUUUGACCAGGAAUCACUAGCCAGGAUGUGGAAAGGUUUUAAUGAGAAUCACAAAGGGACUGGGUGAGGGGGAAACAUUUUUCAAAUCCAGCCUUUAUUGCCAUGCUUCAGGGGCUGAGGAGGAGGGAGAAGGCUCAACCCUGCUUAUCUCUUUCCAGACCCAGAGGCAGCUAGCUGGAGGGCAGUCCCUGAAAGUCUUUCCCCAGCCCAGGGCCUGAGGGAAAGGGGAGAUGUCUCUGGUGCUUAUGCCAGGAGUGGGAAGACCUGGAGCAGCGAGCUGACCUCCAGAGGUCAAGAGAGACUCAGAAUUAGGCAGGAACAUCAGAUGUUGGCAGGGCAGAUGGACUGAGGAAACUCUCGGGUUACCCAAACAGCACUGAGGGCCUGGAUGCCCCGCGUCUGCUGGCUCUAGGGACUGAGACCCUGAGGUAGGCACCCCCAAACUGAGAUAUGCUCACAAAGAGGCCCUGACAUCACCCCCUCCCCCUGUUCAGCAUGAUCAACAGAAGGUCUGGAGGGAGAAGUGAGGGCAG